GAUGAAGAACGCAGCGAAAUGCGAUAAGUAAUGUGAAUUGCAGAAUUCAGAGAAUCAUCGAAUCUUUGAACGCACAUUGCGCCCCCUGGUAUUCCGGGGGGCAUGCCUGUCCGAGCGUCAUUACAACCCUCAAGCUCAGCUUGGUGUUGGGCCCCGCCGCCCCGGCGGGCCCUAAAGUCAGUGGCGGUGCCGUCCGGCUCCGAGCGUAGUAAUUCUUCUCGCUCUGGAGGUCCGGUCGUGUGCUUGCCAGCAACCCCCAAUUUUUUUCAGGUUGACCUCGGAUCAGGUAGGGAUACCCGCUGAACUUAAGCAUAUCAAUAAGCGGAGGA
RNAcentral lists this unclassified non-coding RNA (329 nucleotides) under soil metagenome. RNAcentral's name for it is "partial contains 5.8S ribosomal RNA, internal transcribed spacer 2, and large subunit ribosomal RNA". The stretch from base 1 to 120 matches the Rfam family "5.8S ribosomal RNA", at positions 35 to 154 of the family's 154-position model. The record is from RNAcentral.